Pantoea ananatis LMG 20103 is the source of this 91-nucleotide small RNA. It matches the Rfam family "OmrA-B family". The record is from Rfam. NCBI's taxonomy places the organism in Bacteria, Pseudomonadati, Pseudomonadota, Gammaproteobacteria, Enterobacterales, Erwiniaceae.
CCCAGAGGUAUUGAUGGGUGUGAAAACGGGCACUGCUCCGGCAAGGCCAAUCGUUAUUACACCAACCCACGCAGAUGCGUGGGUUUUUUUU